GCGACCGUGGCUCAUGUGGGAGUGGGUCGUCUUCUGAUCGAGAGGUUUGGGGUUCGAUCCCAGUACCUGACUAUGUGUCGAAGUGUUCUUGGGCAAGACACUGAACCCUAAGUUGCUCCCAGUGGUCGACUAGCGCCUUGCAUGGCAGUCCUGUCCCUCUGGUGUGUGAAUGUGAGAGUGAUUGGGUGAAUGAGCUGAUAUGUAAAGCGCUUUGAGACUGCUUCAGUGUGGUGAUAAAGCUCUAUAUAAAAUCAAGUCCAUUUACCAUUUCUGUAUAAAUGUAUGGUUUCGAGAGACAAGGCGUCAUAAUGAUGGAUUCAUUCAGUGUAGGACAUCACUGAAGGCCUAGGUGUGAAAUGCAUGGCACACCACUGGUAAGGAGUUUGAUUUUUUUUUCCCAUAGACAGCUCUCUGGUCUUCUUGUUUACUGAAAAGCAAAUGCAAUUUUCACAGGUGAAAUGUCACACUACAAGCCAGCCAUCAAUACUGGGCUUUGUAACAAAGAAAAGAGUCACAGGCGUUCCAACAGACAUGUGAUCAGAGUCUGCAGUUGCUGCCGCAUCGUUCAGGCAGUAAUCGUGGCGUCCAACUCGCAACUCAUUGGUGAGUGUCCAAC
This 616-nucleotide long non-coding RNA is filed under the name Gouania willdenowi (blunt-snouted clingfish). RNAcentral's name for it is "lncRNA (ENSGWIG00000013361.1)". The record is from RNAcentral. Lineage: Eukaryota; Metazoa; Chordata; Actinopteri; Blenniiformes; Gobiesocidae.